AAUAUUGAUACGUGAACUAAUGAUGCCAACCUGUCGUUUACGCGUCCUCCCUCAUGUAACCUUUAGGUCACAACAGUAACUGGUCGGCUUUAAUCAGGAGAGGCGCGGUAAUGCAGCUAGCUGUAGAACUCGCAGUAGCAUUUCUUGUAACUAAUAAGUACUCCCUAUGUAAACUAAUAUAAAAAUGUUUAAAUUACUAAAAUAGUGUUUUAAAUGUUUUUAUAUUAGUUUACGAAUAGAGUAGUAAUUUGCAAUAUACAUGAAGUAACUUGGUUUCAGUUCAGAACGUACCAUGGGAGAGGGAGAGCUGAGCUUUGAUUUCUCCAACGAUCGAGCUGAUCGAUGCAAGAUAUAUGGAGUACUCCAUGCCUGCUAAAAACGUAAUGUUGGCUUGGGAGCCGUUCAGCUAAAAACUAAAGAGUAUUUUGGAUAUUAUGC
This 438-nucleotide long non-coding RNA is filed under the name Hordeum vulgare. RNAcentral's name for it is "long non-coding RNA (HVUL_LNC001621)". Lineage: Eukaryota; Viridiplantae; Streptophyta; Magnoliopsida; Poales; Poaceae. The record is from RNAcentral.